CCUACGGGAGGCAGCAGUGGGGAAUAUUGCACAAUGGGGGAAACCCUGAUGCAGCGACGCCGCGUGGGUGAAGAAGGAUUUCGGUUUGUAAAGCUCUGUCAGCAGGGAAGAAAAUGACGGUAUCUGACCAAGAAGCCCCGGCUAACUCCGUGCCAGCAGCCGCGGUAAUACGUAGGGUGCAAGCGUUAUCCGGAUUUACUGGGUGUAAAGGGAGCGUAGACGGCAGGGCAAGUCUGAUGUGAAAGGCGGGGGCUUAACCCUCGGACUGCAUUGGAAACUGGCAGGCUGGAGUGCAGGAGAGGUAAGUGGAAUUCCUAGUGUAGCGGUGAAAUGCGUAGAGAUCAGGAGGAACACCAGUGGCGAAGGCGGCCUACUGGAAUGUAACUGACGUUGAGGCGCGAAAGCGUGGGGAGCAAACAGGAUUAGAUACCCCUGUAGUC
Molecule: ribosomal RNA, 440 nt
Filed under: uncultured bacterium
Lineage: Bacteria
Description: partial 16S ribosomal RNA
Rfam family: Bacterial small subunit ribosomal RNA
Source: RNAcentral